Molecule: unclassified non-coding RNA, 391 nt
Filed under: soil metagenome
Description: partial contains 5.8S ribosomal RNA, internal transcribed spacer 2, and large subunit ribosomal RNA
Rfam family: 5.8S ribosomal RNA (bases 1-122)
Source: RNAcentral
GAUGAAGAACGUAGCGAAAUGCGAUACUUGGUGUGAAUUGCAGAAUCCCGUGAACCAUCGAGUUUUUGAACGCAAGUUGCGCCCGAAGCCAUUAGGCCGAGGGCACGCCUGCCUGGGCGUCACACGUCGUUGCCCCCCCAUCUACUCCUUCGGGAUUGCGAGGGGCGGAUGAUGGCCUCCCGUGCGCCUCGUCGCGCGGUUGGCAUAAAUGCCAAGUCCUCGGCGACGCACGCCACGACAAUCGGUGGUUGCGAAACCUCGGUUGCCCGUCGUGUGCGGUCGUCGCGCAUCGAGGGCUCGAAAAAAUUGCCGGGCUCCGGCUCGGCUUUCAACGCGACCCCAGGUCAGGCGGGGUUACCCGCUGAAUUUAAGCAUAUCAAUAAGCGGAGGA